GAUGAACGCUGGCGGCGUGCCUAACACAUGCAAGUCGAACGGAGACGCCUUGGAAAUCUCUUCGGAGAUGGAAUCCUCGACUUAGUUGCCGACGGGGGAGUAACCCGUGAGCAAUCUGCCAUUAAGAGGGGGAUAAGGGUCGGACACGGCAGCUAAUACUGCAUAAAGGAUUAAAUUCGCAUGUUUUGGAUGUCAAGGGAGCAAUCCGCUUUUAGAUGAGCUCGCGUCUGAUUAUCUAGUGGGGGGGGUAAGGGCACACCAAGGCGGCGGGCGGUAGCCGGAGUGAGGGGGAGAACGGCCACAGUGAGUGUGAGACGCGGCAGAGACUCAUACGAGAGGCAGCAGUGGAGAAUAGUACACAAUGGGGGAGCCCGUGACACAGCAGCGGCGCGUGAUAUAAGAGGGCCUGCGGGGUGUAAAGAUCUUUCAUGAGAGACGGAGCGAGUGACGGUAACUGAAGAAGAAGCACCGGCUAACUACGUG
This 483-nucleotide ribosomal RNA is filed under the name uncultured bacterium. RNAcentral's name for it is "partial 16S ribosomal RNA". It matches the Rfam family "Bacterial small subunit ribosomal RNA", at positions 28 to 507 of the family's 1533-position model. The record is from RNAcentral.